UCCUGCAUCCACUGUGCCCACUCAGCUUGUACCUCUGAGCCUGAGGUCAGAGACAGGCAGAGAAGAGAGGGUGGCCAUGGAUUCCCCCAUUCCCUGAGGCUGCCUGCAACCCUUCUGGGAAGCAUUUCAACCUCUCACCAGCAAGAACUGCCCUGGUUGCCAUGGUUACAGUGGAACCACCCACCCACCCAGGCCUCCCAGGACAGGAUCUCCAGCUGCUCAGUGUGAAGUCUAGCUCUGGAAAAAGAAGGAGGAGAGAGAGACUGAUUAUGUAAGAGCAUUCGCUGCCACUCAGCCACCAGCCAGGAAAGGAAGACCCACCGUGCACACUGUCCCCGCUGUCUGCACUGAGACACCCAGCAGUGUCUUCACACACAAGAAAGGACUCAAAGGCAUGGCAGGAGCUGCCUGGAGACAAGGAGUGAGUCUCCCAAGUCAGGCCACAGUCUGGCAGCCUUGAGUUGGAACUAAAAAGAGCAGCAGAGCCCACAAGCUAGGAUGCCUGCCUGAAGGAGGAAUUCAAACGCAGGUCCUCAUGUGUGCACUGAGAAAGCUCUUACCUGCUGAGCCAUGCCCUCAGCCCCUGCUGCAGCUUCAUCAUUCAGAAGGAACUCUAGCAUUGAACCCCACCGUGCAUCCCGGUCUGCCUGUUCCCAGUGGAGAAGUCAAGUGGGAAAAAGAGGCACAGCCAACCUCAUGGAUCAACCACAUGUCACGCUGUGGCCCCUGUAUGAGUCCCAUUGAAAUGAGGAGGCAGGAAGGACCCCCAAGGAAGCUGCCAAGAGGAAGGUAUCUGAUGACGCUUAGAUGUGGAAUAGAGGCUCUGAAGAAGUCAGGCUCCUGGCUGUGGUAGUUUGAAUGAGAUGUCCACCUUAGAUUUAGAUAUUAGGAUACCUAGUCCCAGCUGGCAGUGUUGUCUGGGGAGGUGUGUGUGGCUUUGUUGGAAGGAGUGUGUCAC
Molecule: long non-coding RNA, 958 nt
Organism: Mastomys coucha (southern multimammate mouse)
Lineage: Eukaryota; Metazoa; Chordata; Mammalia; Rodentia; Muridae
Exons: 3
Source: RefSeq, a predicted model, not a curated record